CCUUUGGGUGGGGAAUAACUCAGGGAAACUUGAGCUAAUACCGCAUAAUGCAGCGGCUCGACAUCGAGACAGUUGUUAAAGCGGGGGAUCGCAAGACCUCGCGCCUGAAGAGAAGCCUGCGGCAGAUUAGCUAGUUGGUAAGGUAAUGGCUUACCAAGGCAACGAUCUGUAACCGGCCUGAGAGGGCGGUCGGUCACACUGACACUGACAUACGGGUCAG
Molecule: ribosomal RNA, 220 nt
Filed under: uncultured bacterium
Lineage: Bacteria
Description: partial 16S ribosomal RNA
Rfam family: Bacterial small subunit ribosomal RNA
Source: RNAcentral